UACGUAGGGGGCGAGCGUUGUCCGGAAUUAUUGGGCGUAAAGAGCUCGUAGGCGGUUUGUCGCGUCUGCUGUGAAAACUCGGGGCUCAACUCCGAGCUUGCAGUGGGUACGGGCAGACUAGAGUGCGGUAGGGGAGACUGGAAUUCCUGGUGUAGCGGUGAAAUGCGCAGAUAUCAGGAGGAACACCGGUGGCGAAGGCGGGUCUCUGGGCCGAAACUGACGCUGAGGAGCGAAAGCGUGGGGAGCAAACAGG
This 253-nucleotide ribosomal RNA is filed under the name uncultured bacterium. RNAcentral describes it as "partial 16S ribosomal RNA". It matches the Rfam family "Bacterial small subunit ribosomal RNA", at positions 524 to 776 of the family's 1533-position model. The record is from RNAcentral.